Molecule: ribosomal RNA, 1346 nt
Filed under: uncultured bacterium
Lineage: Bacteria
Description: partial 16S ribosomal RNA
Rfam family: Bacterial small subunit ribosomal RNA
Source: RNAcentral
GACGAACGCUGGCGGCGUGCUUAACGCAUGCAAGUCGAACGGAAAGGCCCUGCUUUUGUGGGGUGCUCGAGUGGCGAACGGGUGAGUAACACGUGAGUAACCUGCCCUUGACUUUGGGAUAACCUCAGGAAACUGGGGCUAAUACCGGAUAGGAGCUCCUGCUGCAUGGUGGGGGUUGGAAAGUUUCGGCGGUUGGGGAUGGACUCGCGGCUUAUCAGCUUGUUGGUGGGGUAGUGGCUUACCAAGGCUUUGACGGGUAGCCGGCCUGAGAGGGUGACCGGCCACAUUGGGACUGAGAUACGGCCCAGACUCCUACGGGAGGCAGCAGUGGGGAAUAUUGCACAAUGGGCGGAAGCCUGAUGCAGCAACGCCGCGUGCGGGAUGACGGCCUUCGGGUUGUAAACCGCUUUCGCCUGUGACGAAGCGUGAGUGACGGUAAUGGGUAAAGAAGCACCGGCUAACUACGUGCCAGCAGCCGCGGUGAUACGUAGGGUGCGAGCGUUGUCCGGAUUUAUUGGGCGUAAAGGGCUCGUAGGUGGUUGAUCGCGUCGGAAGUGUAAUCUUGGGGCUUAACCCUGAGCGUGCUUUCGAUACGGGUUGACUUGAGGAAGGUAGGGGAGAAUGGAAUUCCUGGUGGAGCGGUGGAAUGCGCAGAUAUCAGGAGGAACACCAGUGGCGAAGGCGGUUCUCUGGGCCUUUCCUGACGCUGAGGAGCGAAAGCGUGGGGAGCGAACAGGCUUAGAUACCCUGGUAGUCCACGCUGUAAACGGUGGGUACUAGGUGUGGGGUCCAUUCCACGGGUUCCGUGCCGUAGCUAACGCUUUAAGUACCCCGCCUGGGGAGUACGGCCGCAAGGCUAAAACUCAAAGGAAUUGACGGGGCCCCGCACAAGCGGCGGAGCAUGCGGAUUAAUUCGAUGCAACGCGUAGAACCUUACCUGGGUUUGACAUGGAUCGGGAGUGCUCAGAGAUGGGUGUGCCUCUUUUGGGGUCGGUUCACAGGUGGUGCAUGGCUGUCGUCAGCUCGUGUCGUGAGAUGUUGGGUUAAGUCCCGCAACGAGCGCAACCCUUGUUCACUGUUGCCAGCACGUUAUGGUGGGGACUCAGUGGAGACCGCCGGGGUCAACUCGGAGGAAGGUGGGGAUGACGUCAAGUCAUCAUGCCCCUUAUGUCCAGGGCUUCACGCAUGCUACAAUGGCUGGUACAGAGAGUGGCGAGCCUGUGAGGGUGAGCGAAUCUCGGAAAGUCGGUCUCAGUUCGGAUUGGGGUCUGCAACUCGACCUCAUGAAGUCGGAGUCGCUAGUAAUCGCAGAUCAGCAACGCUGCGGUGAAUACGUUCCCGGGGCU